This 362-nucleotide unclassified non-coding RNA is filed under the name Hevea brasiliensis (rubber tree). Lineage: Eukaryota; Viridiplantae; Streptophyta; Magnoliopsida; Malpighiales; Euphorbiaceae. The record is from RNAcentral.
CUCAACCAAACCUGAACAUGCAUGCAAAUUUAGAACCUCAAGAUUUGAGCAAGCUUACUUUCCUAGAUCUAAAGUGGUGUAUAAGUCUUUGCACUUUACCGAGCUUGCUUCAUUUGAAAAGUCUUAAGGUUCUUUCUAUAGCGUAUUGCUUAAAAAUCAUAGAGUUUCCAGAGUUUCCAGAACAAGUGCCCUCAUCAAUUGGAUGUCUCUCUCAUCUUUCUCGGUUGGAUUUGAAUUGUUUGACGGGGCUUGAAAGUCUCCCAGAUAGCAUUGGCAAUCUCAAAUCUCUCAGAGAAUUUGGUAUCUUUGAUUGUGUGAAUCUAAAGGAACUUCCGGAGAACUUGGGGAAUUUAGAAUCUCUA